RNAcentral lists this ribosomal RNA (530 nucleotides) under uncultured bacterium. RNAcentral's name for it is "bacterial SSU rRNA". It matches the Rfam family "Bacterial small subunit ribosomal RNA", at positions 9 to 519 of the family's 1533-position model. The record is from RNAcentral.
GAGUUUGAUCCUGGCUCAGGACGAACGCUGGCGGCGUGCCUAAUACAUGCAAGUCGAGCGGACUUUUCGGGAGCUUGCUUCCGGAAAGUCAGCGGCGAACGGGUGAGUAACACGUGGGUAACCUGCCUGCAAGACCGGGAUAACUUCGGGAAACCGGAGCUAAUACCGGAUGAUCUCCUUUUCCGCAUGGAGAAGGACUGAAAGGACGGCGCAAGCUGUCGCUUGCAGAUGGGCCCGCGGCGCAUUAGCUAGUUGGUGAGGUAACGGCUCACCAAGGCGACGAUGCGUAGCCGACCUGAGAGGGUGAUCGGCCACACUGGGACUGAGACACGGCCCAGACUCCUACGGGAGGCAGCAGUAGGGAAUCUUCCGCAAUGGACGAAAGUCUGACGGAGCAACGCCGCGUGAGCGAUGAAGGCCUUCGGGUCGUAAAGCUCUGUUGUCAGGGAAGAACAAGUGCGGGAGUAACUGCCCGCACCUUGACGGUACCUGACCAGAAAGCCACGGCUAACUACGUGCCAGCAGCCGCG